Non-coding RNA from Pelobates cultripes (western spadefoot toad), 209 nucleotides. The record is from the annotation of a GenBank genome assembly. NCBI's taxonomy places the organism in Eukaryota, Metazoa, Chordata, Amphibia, Anura, Pelobatidae.
UACACAAAUUGCAGCUUCCAUAAUGUUAAGCACCCUCCCCUCUCCCCUCUGCUUAAAUACCUUUUUCUUUGCAGGAAGGUGACUUCCUGAGGCUGGCUGAGCCUGAUGGGAGUCUGAAGCUGCAGAGAUCUCUCUCCUCCCUCCUCCUUCUCUUCCAGCUGCCUGCUGCCUGUGUCUUCUCUCCCAGCUGCAUCCUGGGUGUUCUCAGC